This is a non-coding RNA of Pelobates cultripes (western spadefoot toad), 157 nucleotides long. The record is from the annotation of a GenBank genome assembly. NCBI's taxonomy places the organism in Eukaryota, Metazoa, Chordata, Amphibia, Anura, Pelobatidae.
GCUGACACAUUCCAGCCAAUCAGCAGCAGACCCUCCCUCCCAGACCCUCCCACCUCCUGGACAGCAUCCAUUUUGAAGCUGCAUUCUUAGUGAGCUGUCCAGGAGGUGGGAGGGUCUGGGAGGGAGGGUCUGCUGCUGAUUGGCUGGAAUGUGUCAG